Molecule: ribosomal RNA, 465 nt
Filed under: uncultured bacterium
Lineage: Bacteria
Description: partial 16S ribosomal RNA
Rfam family: Bacterial small subunit ribosomal RNA
Source: RNAcentral
GACGAACGCUGGCGGCGUGCUUAACACAUGCAAGUCGAACGCUGAACCCGCUUCGGUGGGGGAUGAGUGGCGAACGGGUGAGUAACACGCGGGCAACCUGCCCCCGGCUCUGGGAUAACUCCAAGAAAUUGGGGCUAAUACCGGAUGUGACCGCUGGCCGCAUGGUCUGGUGGUGGAAAGGGUUUCCGGCUGGGGAUGGGCCCGCGGCCUAUCAGCUUGUUGGUGGGGUAGUGGCCUACCAAGGCGACGACGGGUAGCCGGCCUGAGAGGGUGACCGGCCACACUGGGACUGAGACACGGCCCAGACUCCUACGGGAGGCAGCAGUGGGGAAUAUUGCGCAAUGGGCGGAAGCCUGACGCAGCGACGCCGCGUGGGGGAUGACGGCCUUCGGGUUGUAAACCUCUUUCAGCAGGGACGAAGCGCAAGUGACGGUACCUGCAGAAGAAGCACCGGCCAACUACGUG